RNAcentral lists this ribosomal RNA (484 nucleotides) under uncultured bacterium. Its description in RNAcentral is "partial 16S ribosomal RNA". It matches the Rfam family "Bacterial small subunit ribosomal RNA", at positions 30 to 526 of the family's 1533-position model. The record is from RNAcentral.
AUUGAACGCUGGCGGCAGGCCUAACACAUGCAAGUCGAACGGUAACAGGAAGAAGCUUGCUUCUUUGCUGACGAGUGGCGGACGGGUGAGUAAUGUAUGGGGAUCUGCCCGAUGGAGGGGGAUAACUACUGGAAACGGUAGCUAAUACCGCAUAAUGUCGCAAGACCAAAGAGGGGGGCCUUAGGGCCUCUUACCAUCGGAUGAACCCAUAUGGGAUUAGCUAGUAGGUGGGGUAAUGGCUCACCUAGGCGACGAUCUCUAGCUGGUCUGAGAGGAUGACCAGCCACACUGGAACUGAGACACGGUCCAGACUCCUACGGGAGGCAGCAGUGGGGAAUAUUGCACAAUGGGGGCAACCCUGAUGCAGCCAUGCCGCGUGUGUGAAGAAGGCCCUAGGGUUGUAAACUCCUGUCUUCGGGGAAGAUAAUGACGGUACUCGAGGAGGAAGCCACGGCUAACUACGUGCCAGCCGCCGCCGUAAGAC